Molecule: long non-coding RNA, 738 nt
Organism: Tyto alba (common barn owl)
Lineage: Eukaryota; Metazoa; Chordata; Aves; Strigiformes; Tytonidae
Exons: 5
Source: RefSeq, a predicted model, not a curated record
CUGAACACCCUCUGAGGAAUGGUCUUCAGUUCCAAAGACUACCCACUGGUUUAAGUCAAAAUCUAAGAACAGUGGAAAUUUUGCAAUUCAGGAUUCCAGUCAGCCAUUAAGCUAUGAUAUCUCACACAGGCCAUUUUCAAGCAAUGAGUCAACCAGGUCACAGAAGCUUUGCAGGAGUUGUCUCACCUUCCAAAUCUGCUUCCAUGGUCUCUCUGCUCUCUACUCAGUACACAUGGCACAGACCAAUGUGAAUAACAGCUCACUUCUAUGUAUCAGCUGGAUUUAUCCACAAAGUCUAGCUGCAUUUGACUACUGGCAGUCUCAGCACGGAGCCAGGUCGCCGGCAGUUACUGAGCGACACGUAUCACACAGCCUCAUGAUCCUGAGCUGCACGGUCUGGUGAGAUCCCAGAACAGCUGCCUGUGUGAGCAGAAAAGGACACUGAGAACUAGGCAGAAAAAAAAUGCUUACAAAAACACCAUAAUCAAAAUCUUCCCCAGAGAAGCAAACAACUACAGAUUUGGCUGCAAUGAAGAGGUGGAACAAAGGACUUCUGGAUCUCCAGCGAAAGACAGAAGGCAUCUCAACCAUCCCCAUAGCUCACACAUCUCAGCACUUGGCACAGAACAGGUAUUCACUCACAUAAAGUCCAUCUCCCUGGUCCUACCUAUCUACCCAUUGUGCUACACAGAAAAGAAGCAGACCUGCAAUGUCAAGCCACAGACCCUAGUGCAUCCA